AAGGAUCAUUAAUGAAUUCACUAUGGAGUUGUUGCUGGCCUCUAGGGGCAUGUGCACGCUUCACUAGUCUUUCAACCACCUGUGAACUUUUGAUAGAUCUGUGAAGUCGUCUCUCAAGUCGUUAGACUUGGUUUGCUGGGAUGUAAACGUCUCGGUGUGACUACGCAGUCUAUUUACUUAUAACACCCCAAAUGUAUGUCUACGAAUGUCAUUUAAAGGGCCUUGUGCCUAUAAACCAUAAUACAACUUUCAACAACGGAUCUCUUGGCUCUCGCAUCGAUGAAGAACGCAGCGAAAUGCGAUAAGUAAUGUGAAUUGCAGAAUUCAGUGAAUCAUCGAAUCUUUGAACGCACCUUGCGCCCCUUGGUAUUCCGAGGGGCAUGCCUGUUUGAGUGUCAUUAAAUUCUCAAACUCACUCUGGUUUUUCCAAUUGUGAUGUUUGGAUUGUUGGGGGCUGCUGGCCUUGAAAGGUCGGCUCCUCUUAAAUGCAUUAGCAGGACUUCUCAUUGCCUCUGCGCAUGAUGUGAUAAUUAUCACUCAUCAAUAGCACGCAUGAAUAGAGUCUGGCUCUCUAACCGUCCGCAAGGACAAUUUGACAAUUUGACCUCAAAUCAGGUAGGACUACCCGCUGAACUUAA
RNAcentral lists this ribosomal RNA (638 nucleotides) under Pleurotus eryngii. RNAcentral describes it as "eukaryotic LSU rRNA". The stretch from base 245 to 398 matches the Rfam family "5.8S ribosomal RNA". Lineage: Eukaryota; Fungi; Basidiomycota; Agaricomycetes; Agaricales; Pleurotaceae. The record is from RNAcentral.